AACGAACGCUGGCGGCAGGGCUUAACACAUGCAAGUCGAACGCACCUUCGGGUGAGUGGCAGACGGGUGAGUAACGCGUGGGGAAACCUUCCCUGUGGUACGGAAUAGCUCCGGGAAACUGGAAUUAAUGCCGUAUACGCCCUUCGGGGGAAAGAUUUAUCGCCAUAGGAUGGGCCCGCGUCGGAUUAGCUUGUUGGUAGGGUAGUGGCCUACCAAGGCAACGAUCCGUAGCUGGGUUUUAGAGGAUGAUCAGCCACACUGGGACUGAGACACGGCCCAGACUCCUACGGGAGGCAGCAGUGGGGAAUAUUGGACAAUGGGCGAAAGCCUGAUCCAGCCAUGCCGCGUGAGUGACGAAGGCCUUAGGGUUGUAAAACUCUUUUGGCGGGGACGAUAAUGACGGUACCCGCAGAAUAAGCCCCGGCUAACUUCGUG
This 435-nucleotide ribosomal RNA is filed under the name uncultured bacterium. RNAcentral describes it as "bacterial SSU rRNA". It matches the Rfam family "Bacterial small subunit ribosomal RNA", at positions 29 to 507 of the family's 1533-position model. The record is from RNAcentral.